Molecule: long non-coding RNA, 449 nt
Filed under: Salvator merianae (Argentine black and white tegu)
Lineage: Eukaryota; Metazoa; Chordata; Lepidosauria; Squamata; Teiidae
Description: lncRNA (ENSSMRG00000003400.1)
Source: RNAcentral
GGAAGGGGCGGGGGAGGGGUGAACGGUGCGGGGAAGGGAGACCCGGCGAGAGGAUGGCUGGAGAGUCCAGCAGUGCACGAGCUCGACGGUGCGAGGCGGCAGGCGCCGUUAAAAGGGCAGCAAGCGGCAAGAAACGGCAGGUUCCUCCAUCGAGCCCGGCGGGCGGGCGGCAGGGAGAAAAGAGGGGAGGAGCAGGAGGGGGGCGCCCGCUCAAGCAACAGAUGAGCAGCAGGAGCGCGCCGACCGAGCUCGAGAGGAGAGGGGAGCGGGUCCUCGCCGGAGAUCCCGGACGGAAAAGCCUCCAAGCGGCGGCUCCACACGAGUUCAGGUCUUCUGCGCAGCGGCGGUGGAGGACGAAAGGCUUUUCCUCACAGCCCCGCGGAGAAGCAUCGGCAGGACCAGGCUUUUUGCAGCCAAACUUCGUCCAUAGUUCCUCUGAAGGCUCUUGA